CCUACGGGGGACAGCAGUGAGGAAUAUUGGUCAAUGGACGCAAGUCUGAACCAGCCAUGCCGCGUGCAGGAAGACGGCUCUAUGAGUUGUAAACUGCUUUUGUACGAGGGUAAACGCAGAUACGCGUAUCUGGCUGAAAGUAUCGUACGAAUAAGGAUCGGCUAACUCCGUGCCAGCAGCCGCGGUAAUACGGAGGAUUCGAGCGUUAUCCGGAUUUAUUGGGUUUAAAGGGUGCGUAGGCGGUCGGAUAAGUUAGAGGUGAAAUCCCGAGGCUCAACCUCGGAAUUGCCUCUGAUACUGUUCGGCUAGAGAGUAGUUGCGGUAGGCGGAAUGUAUGGUGUAGCGGUGAAAUGCUUAGAGAUCAUACAGAACACCGAUUGCGAAGGCAGCUUACCAAGCUACUUCUGACGUUGAGGCACGAAAGCGUGGGGAGCAAACAGGAUUAGAUACCCCUGUAGUC
RNAcentral lists this ribosomal RNA (460 nucleotides) under uncultured bacterium. RNAcentral describes it as "partial 16S ribosomal RNA". It matches the Rfam family "Bacterial small subunit ribosomal RNA", at positions 338 to 795 of the family's 1533-position model. The record is from RNAcentral.